AGAGUGAACGCUGGCGGCAGGCCUAACACAUGCAAGUCGAACGGCAGCGGGCAGUAGCAAUACUGUGCCGGCGAGUGGCGGACGGGUGAGGAAUACAUCGGAAUCUACCUUGUCGUGGGGGAUAACGUAGGGAAACUUACGCUAAUACCGCAUACGAACCAUGGUUGAAAGCGGCGGACCGCAAGGCGUCGCGCGAUUGGAUGAGCCGAUGUCCGAUUAGCUAGUUGGCGGGGUAAAGGCCACCAAGGCGACGAUCGGUAGCUGGUCUGAGAGGAUGAUCAGCCACACUGGAACUGAGACACGGUCCAGACUCCUACGGGAGGCAGCAGUGGGAAUAGUUGGACAAGUGGGGGACAACCCGUGAUCCGAGCCAUGACCGCGUGUGUGAAAGACGGCGUUCGGUAGUAAGCUACGUUUGGUAGGGAAGAAAAGAUAACGUGGUUAACUACGUUGGUGU
This 457-nucleotide ribosomal RNA is filed under the name uncultured soil bacterium. RNAcentral describes it as "bacterial SSU rRNA". It matches the Rfam family "Bacterial small subunit ribosomal RNA", at positions 26 to 475 of the family's 1533-position model. The record is from RNAcentral.